This 725-nucleotide ribosomal RNA is filed under the name uncultured bacterium. RNAcentral's name for it is "bacterial SSU rRNA". It matches the Rfam family "Bacterial small subunit ribosomal RNA", at positions 9 to 731 of the family's 1533-position model. The record is from RNAcentral.
GAGUUUGAUCAUGGCUCAGGAUGAACGCUAGCGGCAGGCCUAACACAUGCAAGUCGAGGGGUAACAGGGUAGCAAUAUCGCUGACGACCGGCGCACGGGUGAGUAACGCGUAUGCAACCUUCCUUUAACUGGGGGAUAGCCCGGAGAAAUUCGGAUUAAUACCCCAUAAGAUCAUAGAAAGGCAUCUUUUCGUGAUUAAAGCUCCGGCGGUUAAAGAUGGGCAUGCGUGCCAUUAGCUAGUUGGUGAGGUAACGGCUCACCAAGGCUACGAUGGUUAGGGGGUCUGAGAGGAUGAUCCCCCACACUGGUACUGAGACACGGACCAGACUCCUACGGGAGGCAGCAGUGAGGAAUAUUGGGCAAUGGGCGCAAGCCUGACCCAGCCAUGCCGCGUGAAGGAUGAAUGCCCUACGGGUUGUAAACUUCUUUUGUACGGGACGAAACUCUUGGACGUGACCAGGAUUGACGGUACCGUGCGAAUAAGCAUCGGCUAACUCCGUGCCAGCAGCCGCGGUAAUACAGAGGAUGCAAGCGUUAUCCGGAUUUAUUGGGUUUAAAGGGUGCGUAGGCGGAGUAAUAAGUCAGUGGUGAAAUCUUGCGGCUUAACCGUAAAACUGCCAUUGAUACUGUUAUUCUUGAGUAUAGUUGAAGUGGGCGGAAUGUGUAAUGUAGCGGUGAAAUGCUUAGAUAUUACACAGAACACCAAUUGCGAAGGCAGCUCACUA